UACGAAGGGGGCUAGCGUUGCUCGGAAUCAUUGGGCGUAAAGCGCACGUAGGCGGCUCCAAAAGUCGGAUGUGAAAUCCCUGGGCUCAACCAAGGAAGUGCAUCCGAAACUGCGGAGCUUGAGUAUGGAAGAGGGUCGCGGAAUUCCCGGUGUAGAGGUGAAAUUCGUAGAUAUCGGGAGGAACACCAGUGGCGAAGGCGGCGACCUGGGCCAAUACUGACGCUGAGGUGCGAAAGCGUGGGGAGCAAACAGG
This 253-nucleotide ribosomal RNA is filed under the name uncultured bacterium. RNAcentral's name for it is "partial 16S ribosomal RNA". It matches the Rfam family "Bacterial small subunit ribosomal RNA", at positions 524 to 776 of the family's 1533-position model. The record is from RNAcentral.